GGCCAGCAGCCGCGGUAAAACGUAGGAGGCGAGCGUUAUCCGGAUUUACUGGGUGUAAAGCGCGUGCAGGCGGUUGGCGAAGUUGGGUGUGAAAGCUCCUGGCUCAACUGGGAGAGGUCGCUCAAAACUGGCCGACUGGAGAGUGGUAGAGGAAGGUGGAAUUCCGGGUGUAGUGGUGAAAUGCGUAGAUAUCCGGAGGAACACCAGUGGCGAAAGCGGCCUUCUGGGCCACAUCUGACGCUCAGACGCGAAAGCUAGGGUAGCAAACGGGAUUAGAGACCCCGGUAGUCCUAGCCGUAAACGAUGUGAACUUGGCGGCGGGCGGGUAAAACCGCUCGGUGUCGAAGCUAACGCGAUAAGUUCACCACCUGGGGACUACGGCCGCAAGGUUAAAACUCAAAGGAAUUGACGGGGGCCCGCACAAGC
This 426-nucleotide ribosomal RNA is filed under the name uncultured bacterium. RNAcentral's name for it is "bacterial SSU rRNA". It matches the Rfam family "Bacterial small subunit ribosomal RNA", at positions 506 to 930 of the family's 1533-position model. The record is from RNAcentral.